RNAcentral lists this long non-coding RNA (305 nucleotides) under Setaria viridis. RNAcentral describes it as "long non-coding RNA (SVIR_LNC001983)". Lineage: Eukaryota; Viridiplantae; Streptophyta; Magnoliopsida; Poales; Poaceae. The record is from RNAcentral.
AGGCUUCUUGGUUAUUCCCAAGUUUGCAUUAUAAAAUGCCUCAAUAGUGCCAAUAUCUUCCCAGUAACCAUCAUAUAAGUAAGCUUGUACCUAUAAAACACAACGUCAUCAAAAGCAAACAUAGUAAUUUGCAUAUAUGGAUAUAGGAGCCAAGCAACAAAUGAUGUAACAACAAUCUUUUAAUGAUAGAAAUAUACAAAUCAUGCAACCCACAACAAUAGACUUAAAAAUAGGAAAAAGAAACAAAAAAAAACGUUCAAGAGCAUACAUACCCUCAUUCCAAUUUCUGUUGCUCCAGGAAUAAC